Molecule: long non-coding RNA, 686 nt
Organism: Solanum pennellii
Lineage: Eukaryota; Viridiplantae; Streptophyta; Magnoliopsida; Solanales; Solanaceae
Exons: 2
Source: RefSeq, a predicted model, not a curated record
GUAGCACCAACCCAAUUUUUUUUUCUCCUUUCCGGAAAACCCAUAUCCAAUUCUCCAAAUAAAACAUUCCAAAACAUUACCCACCAGCAACCCAAAAAUAAUAACCCAACUAAAAUGCAUAACCUGACCCAACUCUGUUCUCCCUCUUCAACGUUAACAACAGUUGGAAAAUGGCAAGAUGCGUGAAUGUCCCUGACCCCUUGUACGCGUUUUUCUCCUCCCAAGCGAGGGCGAAUCAAUGACGCUCCAACGUCUCUUUCUCCCUUUUCCGCAUUGUACAACUUUUCACCAGCUGUAGCCGUCUGCAGAAUCGUCCUUGCAUCCCUGAUUUUUGCCUUUGAUGCUUGGAGAUUGAGCCACGUAGCUUCGCCAUGUACGAUCGAUUUGAUCUAGCCGUCUACCCCCCUUUCCCUUUCAGAAUGGGGUUGAAGUUUCAGAGAAAGGUGUUCGUCCAAAAAUGGUUCUGGUCGUUGAAGUGCUUUGAAGAAGACUGGACGAAGCCUUGGAUCUCUUAUUCAUCCAAGUAGGGUAGGUCCUCAAUUUCCGAGGGCGAUACCACUAUCUAGAUUAUGGAGUUGCUUUUAGUUCAAGAAUUCUAUGGUUCUUUCUUUCCAUUUAGCAUGAAACAUUGUAUAGCCCAUGUGAGACAUUUUUACUUUGAUGUAUGGGUUAUGCUCAAGUUCUUA